RNAcentral lists this ribosomal RNA (254 nucleotides) under uncultured bacterium. RNAcentral's name for it is "partial 16S ribosomal RNA". It matches the Rfam family "Bacterial small subunit ribosomal RNA", at positions 524 to 776 of the family's 1533-position model. The record is from RNAcentral.
UACAGAGGUCCCAAGCGUUGUUCGGAUUCACUGGGCGUAAAGGGUGCGUAGGUGGUGAGGUAAGUCGGAUGUGAAAUCUCCAAGCUCAACUUGGAAACUGCAUUGGAAACUACCUUGCUAGAGGAUUUGAGGGGGGGAUUGGAAUACUUGGUGUAGCAGUGAAAUGCGUAGAUAUCAAGUGGAACACCAGUGGCGAAGGCGAAUCCCUGGAAAAUACCUGACACUGAGGCACGAAAGCUAGGGGAGCAAACAGG